GGUAGACACUCAGUAACGUUGGCUUAUUUUCCUCCAGAACGCAAGUAAAUCAUUCUGUAUAAGCAUUCUCACAGUUACAGAAGACAUUACCUGAAGUUACAUGGUUGGAAAGUACUCCCUCCUCCUGGAGGGAAUCUGGGAAGGAGGUUUCAUAGGUGCAGAGUGUAGGAGGUUGGAAUAUCAUAAAAUCAGUGAAAUGGAGCAAGGCCCUUCAUCAUGCAGAAGCAAAUAGCUUAGAGAUUUAGAUGAUCUCUAAGUGUACAGGACCUAUGCAGAAAGGAUGAAAAGGGGUGUGGAAUUCAGAUACUAAAUGAGAGAUAAGAUGGAGAAAAUAUGGUAGGUCAAAUUUAUGUUGGUCCAGAUGCCAUAUAUAUUUAGUUAAGAUUAGGUUUGGCUAUGAGAGAUGGAGAAUACAAAAUUGCAUUACCUUUAUAAAAUGGAAUUCUGUUUAUCUUUUAUGUGGAUUCCAGAUACAGGCAGGCCAGAGCUGGUAUCAUCAAUACAUGGUGUCUGGCACCCAGCUUCCAUGGUCUUCUAGCUGUGCUGCAUGUUGCUUCUAUUCUUAGUCUAAGAUAGUUGCUGAAGCAUCAGCCUUUGCAUCUACAUCCCAGUCAGCAAUAAGAAGGAGAGAAAAAGAACACAUUCUCUAUAUUUUAAAAAGUUAUACAUUACAUUUCUCCUUAAUCUCACUAUCUAACAAGUUGUCUUAUGGACAUAGGUAGCUACAAGAGAGAUUGGAAAAUGUAGUCUAUUUGGGCAUAGGGAGAAGGGAAUAAUGCAUCCUGGAGAUCAAAUAUUGCCAAAUACUUUUUUUGAUUUAUCAAUCACCACCAAGAGAUUUUGGAGACAAUAACUUCAGAAAAAAACUCACAACAAUCCUCUAGACCAGCAGAAAGCCAUACAGUAAAACUUUGCCAUAACUUAUCCCGGAGACAUAGUAGAAAGGCAGGUGUGCUAUGGUUUGAGAAGCUGAUAUUAUUGUUAUUUAUUACUAUUAUUGAUGAUCCUUUCUUUUUCCAACUCCCUUCCAAAUUUUCUUGCUACAGUUCAGAAACUACAUGGCCAUUCUUAGUGUUAUGACACUCAGAUGUCUGAAACGUAUAUAAGAGGUUUAAGGGAAAUAGCAAAGUCACUGCAUUUAAAGAUCAGAUAACAGCAGGUUUUAACUUCUCUGAUUAACCUAUCCACUCUUAAAUAGAGGAUAGCAUAAUGUUUCUGUUCUCCCCAUGCUUGCAAGGGUCGAGAAGAUAGUUGUGUUGAAAAUAUAAAUGUUGAGAGGGACAGAAAUAAUACUGACUCAUCAUCACCACUUUGUGUUUCAGCUCAAAUUGGUUUAUGGGAUGAGUUUCUGGUCAUCUAACAUGUUUCUGAGGGCAAGUGACCAGGACAUAUAAAUGUAUAUGUAGCAGGUUCAGGAAAAACCAGGAACAUGGAACAUAUGAUUCAUCUGUGUAACAAACAUAUAUUAAGCAUCUACUAUGUGUCGUGUACUUUACGAUGCUCUAAAGAUACAGAGAAAAGGACCCACUCUGUUGGCAAUCUGCUCACAGUUCAGUGGGAAAUAUGAGCAGUAAGCAUUUUAAUACAGAGGCAUGUGUCUUUGUGGAGCUCUGCAGAAGAUAAUCUAAGGGGGCAGCAUUGGUGGGAAAUGUCUACCAAGAGAUGAUAAUUGAGAUGAUUCUUGAAGGAUGUACAAGAGUUUUCAGGUAGAAUGAAUUUGUGCAAAAGCCCUGUGGUAGAGUUAGAGCUUGGAAUAAAAUGAUUAGUGUGACUCGUUUAAAAGAUAUGUUUGUACGUGGAGAUGGAAGGGGAGCGGCAAGAGAUGAAACUGAGAAGAUUGGCAUCAAACUGAUCAAACAACACUUGACGUGCUUUGAUGGAAAGCUCAGUGUUUAUUCUGAAUGUGCUGAUGAAGACAAUCUUCAGAAGAAGCAUGCCUAGGAAUGAUGUCUGCAGGCAUGCAUCAGAACCAUGGCCCUGCCUGCUUGUGCCUGACUGACUGGAUAGCCUGCUACAGUGGUAAUUCAAUAGUAUGAGGACCCUAGGUGUGACAUUAUAUAUUUGAAGAUCAUCAGGUUUGCAGUGAGGUGAGAGAAAAUGAGUGCAGUUUGGGGUCAUGUUGAAUAUUGGGGGCCUAUGACAGGUCCAUCUGGAAAGGACUCCUAGAAGCCAGAGGUACAUAAGUAGAAGGAGAGGUAUGUCCAGUGAGUUAGGGACUGGUGAAAGUCUUGAGCAACUAAGCACAGAUACCAAUAAGCUGAGAAGUUUGCCCGGAAGGAACAGAGGAGUAGGAAAGAGCUGACUCCCCUCCCUUCCUGCUGAGACCGAAGGCCAUUCUUGUCAUAUUUCACCGGGUUCCAGUCUGGAGGAAGACAAAGCUCACUGGCCAGUCAAUUCCAGAUAGUCAUAGGAGUGGGUCUUCCAGCCUGGCUAGACAUGUCUCUUGCUGGCCCAACCACUAUAGUGAAUUGUUCUGAAUACCCUGUUCUACCAAACUCAAAGCCAAACAAGAUUAUUUAAGGUUCCCAGGGAGUGAUAGGCUCCAAUGGGAAGCAGAUGUAGUUCAAAGUGUGCAGAAGGAGAUGAGAAUCCGAAGAAGUGAUGCUGGGGCCAGACCAUGGGCACAGGUGUCCCGUACUAGCUGUUACCCAGUGCUCUGCCUGGCAGGGCUAGGACUGAGAUGGGGGUGGGCAGUGGGGCUGCAGUUUCCUGGGAUAGCUCUGGGCACUUUUUGGAUGGACAAUCAUGGGUAACUGGCCUUUUAUGCCUUUAGAAUUGUCCCAUUAGGGGUAAAGAAGUACAAGCCUUCUUGUGAUCCCCUAAGGAUCAUACUUCCAGGAUUCCCUAAGGGUGGAAUCUUCUGGCUGUUUUUGACACUUCCCUGUGGCAAAAGACUUUUUAGCUCUAUACUUCCUAGAGGAAAAAGAUCCCUGCACAACCUGGCCCCAAUCUUCUUUACUGACUCAGGUUCUGCCAUUACCCAAUCUCUUCAGUUUGCCAUGGAUAUAGCUUUGUUUUAUCUCACCGCACAUAUGCAUGUGUGUGAGUAUGCAUAGACGCACGCACACACACAUGCACACACACACACACACACCACCUCUCAAGCCGCAUAGUUCCCUAAAUACCUACUUUGAUUUUUCAAACCUUUUCACAUUUUUCCUCUGUCUCUGAUGAGCAUCUCCCAUUACAUUAUUUGAGGGUUUCAAAACUCAGUUCAAAUAUCACUUUCCUUCUUUAAGACCCUUCCUAAUCUCCUAAUCAGCCACGCCAAGUUCUAUAAGCUCUCUUCUCUGUCCCUGAUGCACUGUGUAGACACCCCAUGUAAAGCAUGCUUUCUGGUUACAAUUUUGUUUCUGUGUUUCUUACAGCCCCACCCCCACCCUCACUAGCCAGCAGAUGGAGAACUCUAAGAAGCAUGCGCCUGGUAUUAUCUUGUUACCUGUCCCUGCAUCUAGCAUACUUCUUGACACGCUGGCAGCAGUCAAAAUAUAUCUUCCUUCUGACCUCAAACCUGAACAUCCAACGUCUCAGUGAGAUCCCAUAGAUUCCCCAUUCAAUUCCUUCAUUUCCCAUCUCAAAGCAGAGUUUGUGCUAUGGAAAAGGUAACUAAUUUCACUAAAAGGACAUCCAGCACAUGCACACCUCAGCCCCUCAAGCUGAUGGUUGCCAUGUGCAGCAAACUUAAGAAGGAGCAGGGUGGCCUUACCCUUGACUAUAUUGUGCGAAUGUUUAGCUGGAGCAGAGAGAAUAGGGGAGCAGAAUCUCCUAGAGUUGCCAGAGGUUGCAAUAUACAGACAGGUGAUCUGUACCAGACUCACUUUGAUAGGAACUGCCACACGGCUCCAUGCGCCUUGUGCCAACUUGGCUUCUUGGGUAUUUCUUGUAGUCCUAUCACUGAGAAUCCAAGCAUUCCAUCCGUUGGCUAUAGUUUCUUCUAGGCCUCCAGAAAAAGGAUUUGGAGUCACAAAGCACAUUUGAAAAUAACCUGCUUCUUGAGUUACAGGGUCACACUGAGGGAUGUCAACACAAGGAAGGUCACAUUACACCCCUAAGAGAAGUUCUCAUGCAUGGCUUUUAUUUCCCAGCCUGGACAACUGAACUGUAGAGUUGAUUUCAUAUUCCAAGAGGAGCCUCUGGUCUCUGCCAAGAGAAGGAGCUUCCAUGAAAUUGCCUGACAUAAGUCAUCCUUGUUAGAGACCCAGGACAGUGGCCAGCACGGUGGGUCUGAACAUUUGCAUUUGCAUUAGAGUGAUAGAUUCCUUUUACCCUGCUGGUACAACCCGCUCCAGUCUCCUAACAGCUCCAGUCUUGGAACGACACAGAGUCAGUAGCUUGGGUAUUCACCAUGAGAGCUUUAUUUUGGGCAAAAAUAAUUCAUUAGGUCUGGAUCCUGCUGCUGUCUUCCCAACAGAUGUCCUCUUUUGUUCAUGUUGCAGUUUGGCUUCAUGAGUGCCCAACUGAUUCUUGAUAAAAAAAAAA
Molecule: long non-coding RNA, 4479 nt
Filed under: Canis lupus familiaris (dog)
Lineage: Eukaryota; Metazoa; Chordata; Mammalia; Carnivora; Canidae
Description: lncRNA (ENSCAFG00000050709.1, ENSCAFG00805020382.1)
Source: RNAcentral